Molecule: RNase MRP RNA, 160 nt
Filed under: Pseudoloma neurophilia
Lineage: Eukaryota; Fungi; Microsporidia
Description: RNase MRP
Rfam family: RNase MRP
About the family: RNase MRP is an enzymatically active ribonucleoprotein with two distinct roles in eukaryotes. In mitochondria it plays a direct role in the initiation of mitochondrial DNA replication. In the nucleus it is involved in precursor rRNA processing, where it cleaves the internal transcribed spacer 1 between 18S and 5.8S rRNAs.
Source: Rfam by way of RNAcentral
CCUGCAUCCCGAAGAACAGUGCAGGAGAAAAAUCCUUGUGUUUUUUCUCUUAGGAAAGUCCUCGAACAUUGCUGAAAAUGCUUCUUUUUCGUUUAGUAAUAGAUCGAUACUGUUGGAUUAUGGUCAAAUCAAACUCAAUGAGGCUUACUCUCGGAUGCAG